AUGGGGUGGAUUGAGCUGCUGAAGCCGGUGGCGGCCAUGAUUGCCUUCGACACGCUCUUUGCGGUGAUGACAGUGCUUGUGAAGAAGGCGCUCGAUGGCGGCCUCAACCCCGUCGUUCUUAUCGCUCUUCGGCAGCUUGUCGGUGCAGCUUUCCUGGCGCCGAUUGCCUACUUCAAAGAAAGGAAUGCAAGACCAAGAUUCACAAAGGAGAUCUUUGCCUACUUGUUCAUGAGUGCGCUACUUGGGGCACUAUUCGCUCAGUAUCUGUUCUUCUUGGGCUUGAGCUACACCACUGCAACACUGGCUGCAACUGUCUCCAAUAUGACCCCAAUCUUCACCUUCCUGAUCGCCGUCCCUCUUCGGUCGGAGACAGUAGAUGUGAGGAGCAAGGCGGGUCUGGCGAAGAUUGCAGGAACACUAGCGUCUGUCAGUGGUGCGAUACUGCUGAGCCUGUACAAGGGUGCUGCCCUGACUCACACAGCAUCUUCGACCCAAGAACACGGUGAAAAUGGCACAACGGGCAACAGUGGCAGCAAGGGAAGAUGGUUGCUGGGCUCGGCGUUGCUGCUGCUGAACUGCAUCACGUUCUCAUUAUGGAUGCUGCUGCAAGGGAAGCUCACCAAGAAGUACCCUGCAGUCAUCUCCAGCACUGCAUUCAUGGCCUUGAUCAGCUCACUGCAAGCAGGGGCACUGGCAGUCACCACCCAAAGGCACCUCUCAGUUUGGCUGCUCCGAGGAAGCAUACAGAUUGCAACCGUUCUUUUCGCGGGAGUGGGAGUAUCGGGGAUAGGGUAUGUGCUGAUGACCUGGUGCAUCGAGAAGAGAGGGCCGGUGUUCACUGCAGGCUUCUUGCCUCUCAUUCAGAUCAUUGCUGGAGUCCUUGAUCUCCUCGUCCUUCAUGAACAGCUUUACGUGGGAAGUGUGGUAGGUGCUGCUCUUGUCAUUGGAGGCCUCUAUCUUCUGCUCUGGGGGAAGAGCAAGGAAGCAUCGUCAGCUGCCAUUUUAUCAGAGAAAGGACUGGAAGAAGAUAAGGAGACACAGGAAAAUUUGUGA
This 1053-nucleotide ribosomal RNA is filed under the name Triticum aestivum (bread wheat). Its description in RNAcentral is "partial small subunit ribosomal RNA". Lineage: Eukaryota; Viridiplantae; Streptophyta; Magnoliopsida; Poales; Poaceae. The record is from RNAcentral.